Molecule: long non-coding RNA, 416 nt
Filed under: Mytilus galloprovincialis (Mediterranean mussel)
Lineage: Eukaryota; Metazoa; Mollusca; Bivalvia; Mytilida; Mytilidae
Source: RNAcentral
AACAAACAUUGAAGAAAAGAAACUAAAUACCGUAGAACACCAAUGCCUAAGAAAGAUCCUAAAAAUAAGAUGGCAAAGUAAAACAUCGAACAAAACAGUAAACGAAAUAGCUAACACCAGAAACAUCAGUUGUGAAAUCAGAAGGAGACGGUGGACAUGGAUAGGACAUACAUUAAGACGUGAAAGAGACAACAACAGCUAUGUAGCUCUAUAAUGGGCACCUGAAGGGAAAAGAACUAGAGGAAGGCCAAAAACUACAUGGAGAAGAACAACAGAGAGAGAAAGGAACCAACAAGGAUGGACAAGUUGGAACGUAGCCAGAACACCGGCAAAAGAUAGAAAAGGGUGGAAAAGCAGCGUGGAGGCCUUAUGCGACUUCUGGCGCGGAGAGAAUUAAGGUUAAGGUAAGGUUUCUC